Molecule: unclassified non-coding RNA, 327 nt
Filed under: soil metagenome
Description: partial contains 5.8S ribosomal RNA, internal transcribed spacer 2, and large subunit ribosomal RNA
Rfam family: 5.8S ribosomal RNA (bases 1-119)
Source: RNAcentral
GAUGAAAACGCAGCGAAAUGCGAUAAGUAAUGUGAAUUGCAGAAUUCAGUGAAUCAUCGAAUCUUUGAACGCACAUUGCGCCCCUUGGUAUUCCGAGGGGCAUGCCUGUUCGAGCGUCAUUAUAACCCCUCAAGCUCAGCUUGGUGUGGGGCCUGCUGCACUGGCAGCCCUUAAAAUCAGUGGCGGCGCCAUCUGGCUCUAAGCGUAGUAAUUCUUCUCGCUAUGGAGUCCUGGUGGAUGCUUGCCAUCAACCCCCAAUUUUUCUAUGGUUGACCUCGGAUCAGGUAGGGAUACCCGCUGAACUUAAGCAUAUCAAUAAGCGGAGGA